CCUACGGGUGGCAGCAGUGGGGGAUAUUGCACAAUGGGGGAAACCCUGAUGCAGCGACGCCGCGUGUGGGAAGACGGUCCUCUGGAUUGUAAACCACUGUCUCCAGGGACGAAGAUGACGGUACCUGGGGAGGAAGCUCCGGCUAACUACGUGCAAGCAGCGGCGGUAUUACGUAGGGAGCAACCGUUGUCCGGAAUUACUGGGUGAAAAGGGAGCGUGGGGGGGAUGGAAAGUAGGGGGUUAAAUCUACCGGCUCAACUGGUAGUCGCACUCAAAACUGCUAUUCUUGAGUGAAGUAGAGGCAGGCGGAAUUCCUGGUGUAGCGGUGAAAUGCGUAGAUAUUAGGAGGAAUACCAGUGGCGAAGGCGGCCUGCUGGGCUUUUACUGACGCUGAGGCUCGAAAGUGUGGGGAGCAAACAGGAUUAGAUACCCCAGUAGUC
This 440-nucleotide ribosomal RNA is filed under the name uncultured bacterium. Its description in RNAcentral is "partial 16S ribosomal RNA". It matches the Rfam family "Bacterial small subunit ribosomal RNA", at positions 338 to 795 of the family's 1533-position model. The record is from RNAcentral.